AUUGAACGCUGGCGGCAGGCCUAACACAUGCAAGUCGAGCGGAUGAAGGGAGCUUGCUCCUGGAUUCAGCGGCGGACGGGUGAGUAAUGCCUAGGAAUCUGCCUGGUAGUGUGGGAAAACGUCCGGAAACGGGCGCUAAUACCGCAUACGUCCUGAGGGAGAAAGUGUGGGAUCUUCGGACCUCACGCUAUCAGAUGAGCCUAGGUCGGAUUAGCUAGUUGGUGGGGUAAAGGCCUACCAAGGCGACGAUCCGUAACUGGUCUGAGAGGAUGAUCAGUCACACUGGAACUGAGACACGGUCCAGACUCCUACGGGAGGCAGCAGUGGGGAAUAUUGGACAAUGGGCGAAAGCCUGAUCCAGCCAUGCCGCGUGUGUGAAGAAGGUCUUCGGAUUGUAAAGCACUUUAAGUUGGGAGGAAGGGCAGUAAGUUAAUACCUUGCUGUUUUGACGUUACCAACAGAAUAAGCACCGGCUAACUUCGUG
Molecule: ribosomal RNA, 484 nt
Filed under: uncultured bacterium
Lineage: Bacteria
Description: partial 16S ribosomal RNA
Rfam family: Bacterial small subunit ribosomal RNA
Source: RNAcentral